AUCGGUAGCUGGUCUGAGAGGAUGACCAGCCACACUGGAACUGAGACACGGUCCAGACUCCUACGGGAGGCAGCAGUGGGGAAUAUUGGACAAUGGGGGGAACCCUGAUCCAGCAAUGCCGCGUGUGUGAAGAAGGCCUGAGGGUUGUAAAGCACUUUCAGUGGGGAGGAGGGUUGAUAGGUUAAGAGCUAAUUAACUGGACGUUACCCACAGAAGAAGCACCGGCUAACUCCGUGCCAGCAGCCGCGGUAAUACGGAGGGUGCGAGCGUUAAUCGGAAUUACUGGGCGUAAAGCGUGCGUAGGUGGUUGAUUAAGUUAUCUGUGAAAUCCCUGGGCUUAACCUGGGCAGGUCAGAUGAUACUGGUUGACUCGAGUAUGGGAGAGGGUAGUGGAAUUUCCGGUGUAGCGGUGAAAUGCGUAGAGAUCGGAAGGAACACCAGUGGCGAAGGCGGCUACCUGGCCUAAUACUGACACUGAGGCACGAAAGCGUGGGGAGCAAACAGGAUUAGAUACCCUGGUAGUCCACGCUGUAAACGAUGUCAACUAGCUGUUGGUUAUAUGAAAAUAAUUAGUGGCGCA
Molecule: ribosomal RNA, 580 nt
Filed under: Legionella bozemanae
Lineage: Bacteria; Pseudomonadati; Pseudomonadota; Gammaproteobacteria; Legionellales; Legionellaceae
Description: bacterial SSU rRNA
Rfam family: Bacterial small subunit ribosomal RNA
Source: RNAcentral